Molecule: non-coding RNA, 4404 nt
Organism: Pelobates cultripes (western spadefoot toad)
Lineage: Eukaryota; Metazoa; Chordata; Amphibia; Anura; Pelobatidae
Source: the annotation of a GenBank genome assembly
UCACAACAGUGUCACCUGUAAGUUUUUCUUAUAUUCGCUCAGUUGAGAAAAGGAAAUUCCUGGCACCUCUCCAAUCAGCAUGCCUGGCACCGAGCUGAGCUAUGACUGGCUUUAUACACUAUUUCUUCACUUUUUCUUGAUACUUCUGUUGUUUGUUAGAUCUUAUAAAACUACUUUGAAGUUAAACUAAAACAAACCAGUUGUGCCCAUGUAAGCCAGAAAUACUUUUCAAUCGAUCUCAUUUGGUUAAAGGUUCAGUGUUAAUCUCAGAUACAUUCGUCAGAUACAUUGCAUAUUGAAGAACUAUACUAAAACUAAUCUGUAUUAGUAUAGAAAUACACAAAAAAAAUUGUAACACAUUGUAGAAAUAAAAAAAUACUAAUUGUCAAAUGCCGUGCUUAAAGCAUUGAAAGCACAUUCCCAAUUGUCAGCAAAAUGCCAAUACAACGACUGUUUAGGCAUUAAACUCACGUGCAGAAAAUGAAGUAGACACCCUGUUGAGGGAGACAAUGCUUUUCUUAAAGGGAUGCUAUAGUCAUGAAAACAACUUUAGCUUAAUGAAACAGUUUUGGUGCAUAGCUCAUGGCCCUGCAGUCUCACUGCUCAAUUCAUUACCAUUUAAGAGUAAAAUCACUUUGUUUAUGUAGCCUUAGUCACACCUCCCUGCAUGUGACUUACACAGCCUUCCUAAACACUUCCUGUAAAGUGAGAUCUAAUGUUUACACUUCCCUUAAGAAAUUCGAAAUUAAAGAGAAUUUGCAUUAUCUCUUACUCUGUUAAUAGCUCGCUAGACCCUGCAAGAGCCUCCAGUAUGUAAAUCAAAUUAAAGAGCAGGAGAUAAAAACUUUUAAAAUAAGUAACAUCCGAUUGAAAAUGAAAACAUUUUGUUGUCAUGCAGACCGUGUCAGUCACAGCCAGGGGAGGUGUAACUAGGGCUGCAUAAACAGAAACAAAUAUUAACUCCUAAAAGACAGAGAAUGGAGCAGUAAGACUGCAGGGACACGAUCUACACAACAAAGUUGUUUUGGUGCCUACAGUGUCCCUUUAACCCCUUAAGGACCAAACUUCUGGAAUAAAAGGGAAUCAUGACAUCCCACACAUGUCAUGUGUCCUUAAGGGGUUAAACUAAACAGAAAAAAAUAAAGACGAGAAAGGUUAUUUCGAAUUUCCCACAACCCCUCUUAUUUAGAGGAUUUAUGACAGAUGCGUACCGCAAGGCAGCAGUUAUCUUAGUGCAGAUAUGCAGUGUGCAAGGUACAUUAAUUUUCCCAGUGUGAAAUGUAGAUGUCCUUGCUAUGUCACAUCUACAAAUAAUCCAGUAACAGAGGCAAGUCUGCUAAAAAUAAAACGUGUUAUGUGACAUAUGUAGGCAGGAGGGGAAAUUGCUUUCUGUUAGACCACGACUGGUUGAGAGGACAAUGAGCAAUUAUCUUCGUGAAGGGUACAAGUGAGGAUCUGUAAGCUAAUAAGUAUCACAACUUUUUUUUCAGCUGAUAGAUAAAUCGGUAAUAAAGUCAGUAAUGAAAAGUUCAGUAAAGUUCAACAAGCUAUAAAAUGAUCUGUUUAUUUUUAUCCCGAACAUCUGUAAUCUUUGCUCAGUAGUAUUUCUGUAACCAGCCGCGCGUGAUGUCAUCCCAGCAAUCUGAUAUCCCUGCUUGGCAACUGGCACCAAAUAAUUUAUUUAUUUCCCGGCUCUCACUGAGUAGAGGUACAUAGCUGCAAUCUGCAUUAGAUAAAUCUGUCACCGUGGUAUCACCAACACAUGAUUCUGUCAAGAGAUCAUACACAAGACCCUGCACACGGUAUUUUAUUAGGUGAUUCGUCCAGGUGUCUCUAUACUGACAAUAUGUUUUGUCAACAGAUUUGGAGUUCACGAACAAAUAUUAAAUGGGACAUAAUGAAAAAUUUGAAUUUUUUUUUUUUUACUUGGAAAAAAAAGUAAACCAGUUCUCUAGUGGUGUACGCGAGUUACCCUUGUAGUUUUGCUGUACUCCAUGUUUAUUUUGGGUUUUACUUGUGUGUUAUGUAAAGUGCUGUGCAGCAUGACAAACUGCUUUGUGGUGAUAUAAGUUUCAGUUGAUCUUAAAUAAGAAAUAAUAUUUAAUAAAAAAGUAAAAUAGUUAUUAUAGUUAUAGCACUUUAUAGCACCUUGCAAUUGCAAUUCUACUUGAAGACGUUUGUCACAAUACUCCAGAUUGAGUGGAUUCUACUCAAUGGAAUGGCAACAUUUAGGAUAAAAUUGUUGAUUUUGAAAGAAAAGAAAAAACAAUGCCAACUGAGCUAUAAUCACAGCUAGGCUGUUUUAGCGUAAAUGAUGCCAUUCAGAAUUGAAUUUAUUAUAAUUCAUACAUUAUGGAAAUGAAUGCCGUAGUGCCAAAUUACUAUAUACAAAUACUGUAAGAGUAGUUAAUAAGUGUAGCAUAUUUACACGAACGAAUACAUUGUGCAUCUCCUAAAAUGGUUAACCGGAUACAUUUCAAAGGACACAAUAGUCACCAGAACAACUACAGCUUACUGAAUUUGUUCUGGUGAGUAUAAUCAUUCCCUUCAGGCUUUUUGCAAUAAACACUGAUGUUUACAUUACAGCAUAGGGAAACCUCCACUGGCCACUCCACAGAUGACCGCUAGUGGUGCUUCCUGGGGUAGUGCUGCACUGUGUGCAGUACUGUCAUUCAGUGUCUCCACCCUCUACAUGGAGACACUGAAUAUUCCUCAUAGAGAUGCAUUGAUUCAAUGUAUUGUUAUGAGGAGAUGCUGAGUGGCAUGGGCUGUGUUUGGCUUGUGCUGGCUCUGCCCCUCCCUCCUUGAUAGUCUCAGCAAAUCCUAUGGGGAAGCACCACUUCUGAUGAUGUCAGCCAAGCAGGCAGUUCAGAAGCAGAGCCAACAGAAGACUGCAGUAAGGGUAAAAUUUUGCUCUAUGUGCUUUUGAAGGGAAAUACAUACUGGAGGAGACCAAACCAAAGCAGCUGGAGCAUGGAAAUGCUGAACACCUGUGCUGCACAUUGUACAGCACUGGACUAGGAAGCAGAUUUAGUGGCCAUCUGAGUGACUGCUAUUAGAGGUGUUACUAGGCAGUGAUGUAAACAUGGACUUUUUUCUUAAAAGGCAGUGUUUACAUUGAAAAGACUGCAAAGACAUGCUAUAGACACCAGAACCACUACAUUAAGCUGUAGUGGUUCUGGUGACUAUAGUGUCUAUUUAGGCUAAAGUUGUUUUGGUGCCUAUAUUGUGAAGACUGCAUAUACCUACAAAAAUACUUAACAGUACAGUGACUACAAAAAAUCAGUAAAGGUACAGUGCCACAUCAUUGAACACAUGAAAGUGCAUUAAAGAAAAAAUAAUUCUUAUACAAAAUCAAUUAAAAACAAAUGUCUUGACAGCAUUGUCAAAAGUAAGUAUAGGUACCUGGUACUAAUUUGUAGAUACAUACUACUCCUAGCACAAUUUGAUACUAUUACCGGUUUUCAAGGACAGAUGAAGGUCACCAGGUCUUUGUUUUCAGUUCAAGUCAGAACCUGCCAAAAACUAAAUAAAAACAUAUUAAAAAGUUAUAAGGGAGAAAGAUCAUAAUCCCUAUUCAUACCAAUAGGUUGAAAACGUUUUAUCUCCUUGAUCAAAAAUAACACUUUUUUUUAAAUAAUCUAAGUUUAUCUCCUCCUCUUCUCAAUUCCAUUACAUGGUCUAUUGCUUGGAAUUUUAACGGGGGCUGGCAUCAGAGAAACGUUGUGGAAUCAGAUGCUCUAAUCUAUCACUAUAUGUAGUAGAACAGUGUUUAGAAACCCUGUCUCUAAUUUGUUUGAGUUGGUUUCUCCAACAUAUAUUCUUCCACAGGGUCAUUUAAUAGUUUAUGAAGAAUCGCAUGUGUAGAAACCAUUAACACAUUAUAUGUUUUUCCUGUAAUGUGGUUUGUGAACUUUGGACCUUUGGUAACUAAAUUGCAAGAGGCACAACCUAGGCACGAAUAUGUACCAAAUUUAAACUUGCCAAAACAAUUUUUCCAUUCUAGGAAUCCUACUAAAUUCCUAAAUGUCAGCAUAAGUCCUACUAAUAAUGGCCAGAGUUUACAUAAGAUGUGUAACACCUGUCUGUUAUGAAUUCCAAAAUCAGUCACCAUUGUCAAUCUUUUUUUUUAAUCUCUAUUCUCUUCUUCUCCAGACUCUCACCUGCAGGACUUCUCCAGGGCUGCCGCACCCUUAUGGAAUGCACUCCCGCACAACAUUGGACUCUCCAUACCUUUGCAGCCCUUCAAAAAACAAAGAAUAUGAGGAUGCUGGGGGAUUGCUGUAUCUCUUGUGUAGAGGGAACGUGCCAGCAUUUCUUAUCCAAACACCCCUUAUGUGCAGGAUCAGUCUGAUAAGCAAAUGGUAUAAGUUCUCUAUGUAACGAGUGUCGGACUAAUCGAAG